AGUCGCGUCACUAUGCGAGCACUUCGCGAGAGUUCGCGAACGUUUCCCGCUCGUCCGACCCCGCAAGCCUACCGACGUUCGAGAAUUUUCGGUCACGAUUUCUGCGAAUAUCCAAACGUUGCGAGCUCAGCCCCUGAGUGGUUCGGUCGUGGGACAGAGCAGCUUCCAACUCGGAAAUAACAAAUUGCGUCGUCUGAUAUAACAAACAAGUUGCGUGGCGAGAGUGUCGCUCGCGGAAUGCUCCAGGGUGUCGCUUCAGCUGGCAGGAAAAAAAAUCAUCACUUCAAGCAGCCGGCUUUCGAACAUACCGUAAAUCCGCGGACCUCUCCGCCAUCACGAUGCACCGUUACGCGUCUCUGACGUUCAUUUGUCGUGUCUAGGGGACUUCCGAACGAGCAAUUCGUUUAACAUCGAGUCAACAGCAGAUAAAACAAGGAUCGAUCCUCCGGUAAUGGUCGAUCGGAAUCCAAUGUCCCGUAUCCCCGCAUUAACUUUUUGCUUCUAACGAAGGGUGACCGAUCCCUGCUCCGCCAGGAGAAUGGCCACCAUCCUCAUAUAUUUUUUUUUUUCGUUUCCUACGAGAACACGCAUCCCCCUCGUCCACUCAGAACGGAAGAGAGUCAUGGUUAUAUAGGACGCCAUUUUUUUUUAGGGAGGGUGGAAGAACUAAUGACGUGUAAAACAGUGCUGAACCUCUACGAGCCCAACAUUUCAAUCCAAUUGAAUUCAAUAGUUAUUUACCGCGGUCUAGGUGGACAUUGGAGGUAUGUUUUAUUCGUUUAUUUUUACGAGAAUCGAUAUUCAAAUGGCCAUUGACUCUGGUAUAUUCGUGCCGUUGAUGUAUAGAAGAUAUUUUAUUAUUUGUUUAGGAGAUUGAAUUUUUAAUUUUUAAGAAAAUGAUAUAUUCGAUGGACGAUUGAAUGGACAACUUAAUUAUUUUAUAUAAGGUCGUAUUAAACUUAGUUAAAACUAAUUAGAAGAUACGUUAAAACAAAAGUAAUAGUAACAGAUAAAAUGUAAAUAUAUGAUUCUACCAUGUCUGAGAACUUUCACGAUUGAAAGAAAUUGUU
Molecule: long non-coding RNA, 1070 nt
Organism: Hylaeus volcanicus
Lineage: Eukaryota; Metazoa; Arthropoda; Insecta; Hymenoptera; Colletidae
Exons: 3
Source: RefSeq, a predicted model, not a curated record